AAACCGUUCCCGAAGAUCUAUUGGAGGGCAAGUCUGGUGCCAGCAGCCGCGGUAAUUCCAGCUCCAAUAGCGUAUAUUAAAGUUGUUGUGGUUAAAAAGCUCGUAGUUGGAUUUCGGCGGGUAUUGGUCGGUUUGAAUUGCUUCAACACUGACUUUUUUACCCGUGUGUUUUGUCAGAAUUUAACGGGUGAUCUUCGCCGAUUGUCCGUUAGAACUGACAGGUUUACUUUGAAAAAAUUAGAGUGCUCAAAGCAAGCUUGAUUGCUUGAAUAUUCGUGCAUGGAAUAAUAGAAUAGGAAGUCGUUUCUAUUUUGUUGGUUUUCGGAAAUCGACUUAAUGAUUAAUAGGGAUAGUCGGGGGCAUUUGUAUUCAAACGACAGAGGUGAAAUUCUUGGACCGUUUGAAGACAAACUACUGCGAAAGCAUUUGCCAAGAAUGUUUUCAUUAAUCAAGAACGAAAGUUAGAGGUUCGAAGGCGAUUAGAUACCGCCCUAGUUCUAACCAUAAACGAUGCCAGCUAGCGAUCUGCCGGUGUUUGAUUUUCUGACUCGGCAGGCAGCUUCCGGGAAACCAAAGCUUGUGGGUUCCAGGGGAAGUAUGGUUGCAAAGCUGAAACUUAAAGGAAUUGACGGAAGGGCACCACCAGGAGUGGAGCCUGUGGCUUAAUUUGACCCAACACGGGAAAUCUCACCAGGCCCGGACACCAGAAGGAUUGACAGAUUGAUAGCUCUUUCUUGAUUUGGUGGGUGGUGGUGCAUGGCCGUUCUUAGUUGGUGGAGUGAUUUGUCUGGUUAAUUCCGACAACGAACGAGACUCUGUCCUGUUAAAUAGAUCCAACCUAGUCGUAGGGUUGGAAUUUCUUCUUAGAGGGACUGGUGAUUAUUAGUCACACGAGAUUGAGCAAUAACAGGUCUGUGAUGCCCUUAGAUGUUCUGGGCCGCACACGCGCUACACUGAAGUGAUCAGCUAGUUUUUCCCUCUCCGAGAGGAGCGGGUAAACUGUUGAACCCACUUCGUGGUAGGGAUCGGAGCUUGCAAUUAUUCUCCGUGAACCAGGAAUUCCCAGUAGGUGCAAGUCAUAAGCUUGCAUCGAUUACGUCCCUGCCCUUUGUACACACCGCCCGUCGCUACUACCGAUGAGUGUUUUAGUGAGGACCUCGGAUUGCUUGCUGGGCGGUUCGCGCUGCCUAGCUGGCGAAAAGACGUCCAAACUGUAGCACUUAGAGGAAGUAAAGUCGUAACAAGGUU
This 1248-nucleotide ribosomal RNA is filed under the name metagenome. RNAcentral describes it as "SSU rRNA". It matches the Rfam family "Eukaryotic small subunit ribosomal RNA", at positions 528 to 1801 of the family's 1831-position model. The record is from RNAcentral.